GGCCCGCUGGCUCAAUGGCAGAGCGUCUGACUACGACUCUGGACAUUUUCAAAGAUAUCCAGAAAUCAGGUAAUCAGGAGGUUCCAGGUUCGACCCCUGGGUGGGUCG
This is a non-coding RNA of Parathielavia hyrcaniae, 108 nucleotides long. Lineage: Eukaryota; Fungi; Ascomycota; Sordariomycetes; Sordariales; Chaetomiaceae. The record is from the annotation of a GenBank genome assembly.